ACGAACGCUGGCGGCGUGCUUAACACAUGCAAGUCGCACGGAAAGGCCCUGCUUUUGUGGGGUGCUCGAGUGGCGAACGGGUGAGUAACACGUGAGUAACCUGCCCUUGACUUUGGGAUAACUUCAGGAAACUGGGGCUAAUACCGGAUAGGAGCUCCUGCUGCAUGGUGGGGGUUGGAAAGUUUCGGCGGUUGGGGAUGGACUCGCGGCUUAUCAGCUUGUUGGUGGGGUAGUGGCUUACCAAGGCUUUGACGGGUAGCCGGCCUGAGAGGGUGACCGGCCACAUUGGGACUGAGAUACGGCCCAGACUCCUACGGGAAGCAGCAGUGGGGAAUAUUGCACAAUGGGCGGAAGCCUGAUGCAGCAACGCCGCGUGCGGGAUGACGGCCUUCGGGUUGUAAACCGCUUUCGCCUGUGACGAAGCGUGAGUGACGGUAAUGGGUAAAGAAGCACCGGCUAACUACGUG
This 467-nucleotide ribosomal RNA is filed under the name uncultured bacterium. Its description in RNAcentral is "partial 16S ribosomal RNA". It matches the Rfam family "Bacterial small subunit ribosomal RNA", at positions 29 to 507 of the family's 1533-position model. The record is from RNAcentral.